This 9083-nucleotide long non-coding RNA is filed under the name Sorghum bicolor (sorghum). RNAcentral's name for it is "long non-coding RNA (SBIC_LNC008680)". The record is from RNAcentral. Lineage: Eukaryota; Viridiplantae; Streptophyta; Magnoliopsida; Poales; Poaceae.
UCCAGACGUAAAUCAAGGAAGAGGACCAACAGGAACAGGAACAAGCAAGUGUGGACCGAGUCAGCUAAGAUGGUCACUGUAGUUCAUGGAGGUCAAGAUCACCAACUUAAGUCACCGUUUUUGACCAAGAAGGACGACCCAGGAAUGCCAAGCAUCUACUGCUCCAUAAAUGGAUACAACUUCUACAAGACGAUUUGCGACACCGGAUCGGGCGUCAACAUAAUGGCCGCAGUCACCUAUCGGCUCUUGUUCGGGACCAUGCCACUAAGACCAACAUACAUUCAGCUCCAGAUGGCAGAUCAGACAUUUCGAGAAGUUAAAGGAAUAGUAUCUGAUGUCCCAGUCAAAAUAGACGAUCACUUUGUCUACACAGACUUUCAAGUUGUUGACAUGGGAGAAGACGAGUAUGAUCCACCCAUCAUCCUUGGAAGACCGUUCCUCAGCACCGUUAAAGCGAUUAUCUACAUUGGAACCGCAGAAGUCCAUAUGCACUUCCCCUCAGAGAAGGUACGCCGUUAUUUUACUGACCCUGACUAUAUCGUUGAAGAAUCUAAGCAGGUCAGAAAGAGACGCAACCGCAACCAGAGGAGGCAGAUCAUCAAGGACGGAUGGGCAGACUAUGAAGGAGAAGUUGUAAGAUCAGAAGACGUUGAGUUUAAAUAGAAUUACCCAGAGGAGAUUGAAGCACCGAGUCAGGUAUGGAAAAUGAAGAUAACUAUACAAGAAGAGGAGGCACUGCCGGAAGUACCGACUACGCCACCCAACGAACCUCAGGACGAUUGAGAAAAUGGAGAGUCCCGUUCGGAGGACUUAAAAACACCGAACGCCUUGCCAAGAGGUAAACUUGGUAGUUACCCUUUCCCUUUCAGUUAUUUCAUAUAGUUUAUUUAGUUAAUCAUGCUUAUGCUGUCUUAAAAAGAAAAUAAAAAUAUGAAAAACAGUAAGCCCCAUGUGAGUAUACGAGUGGCAUAAAACCCAUAAGUACAUUCACUGUGGAGGCAUAAAAAUAAAAAUAAAUAUUUUUCUGCUUUAUAAAAUAAAAAUAUAAAAACAGGGAGUAAUAUUUAUUAAGGAGUCUCAAGAUAAUAAAGGCUAGAUAUUUAUGCUAACACUUAAUCUGUUCCACAAGCUUGUUGUCUAUUUGAGCUCCACAGAAUUUAAGAAUCAAGAAGACUAGCAGACGGAGGACAUUCUAAUCGCUGUCAGAAUGCUGCUGACUUUCAACUACACCUCUGCCACCUGCUAGCUACAUCAAGAGAAAUUACGUCAAAAUUCAGUUUGGGGGAGAGCACCCCCAUUUAUCCCGAUAAGUAUUUCUAUCUAUCUUUAUACUUAUACUAUAUUAGAAUAUUAAAAUACAUAAAGUAUGAAAAACCAAAUAAAGAUUAUAUAUAUAUAUAUCUUUUGCUUAGUGUGUUUAAUAAAUAACUAAAGUGGCUAUGCUAAUCUGUAUUUAAAUAAAACUCAAGCAUGGAUAUGAUAAAUAGUUGCUCUACCUAAUUUGCGAAUUUUAAAUUCUCUCUCAAGUUUAGAUAUAACUGUUAUAAUUUAAAGCUUGCCGUAGACCUAAACUUGUGGGAUGAAAACUUGAUCUGAAGUCUAAGUUGUUAACGGAUACGAUAUGGGAAGGUUGAGCUGCUGUUUAUCUGUUCCUAGAGAUGCUAGAAUUCUGGAGAAUUUUAUCUUUGAAAAUCUUUAAAAUGUUGCAUGAUGAGUUCCUGUAUGAUGAGAGCUUAAAUUCCUACCACAGCCAUAUAUACAUGCUUGCUAGAUUUUGAGCCACAUAUUUACUAUUUACUGCUUGUGAGCAUUGAGUGUGGUCAAGCUGUGUAGACCCUUAGGAGCUUGUCAUGUGGUUAAAUCAAGAUUUCACUUGCACGUUCACUCAUAUAUGCUACUUCUACUCCGGAAGUACCAUCCACAUAUAUCUACCCAUUCCAUCUCCAGAACCACCUAAAAAUAUUCUACUCCUAAUCCGGGAGAGAAUAACCAAAAAUAUUUCUGUUUUCCCCUUGUAAAAUAAAUGCUCAAGAUAUCUUGUUACUACCACUUGCUAUAUUAUCUCAAGAGAUGAAUGCUCUAAAAAAAGGAAUAAUACGAGGAAAUAAAAAGGAGCAAGUGCUCGGAACCUCGAAAGAAAAGAAAAAGUGAGACGAGAGGUAAAAAUGGACAAGUGUCCGACAGUAGAAUUAGGGGUGCAAGAUACCCACCUGAGAGAAAAGAAAAAGAAGAGCAUCUCAUUCUCCUCAUAAAGUUUCAAAAGCAAGGAAGGUAUGUAUCCCAUCAAAGAGCAAAAGUAGAAUUAGACUUCCACCACCAUUGUUUUCAUCAUUGUUAUCACCAUCAUCACCAUACACCAUUCAUUCGCCACACAUGCACAUCUUGAUUAAACUUAUUGACUUGUUACUUUGGAUCCAUGGUUUGGCUAUGCAAUAAAUGUCUUGUAAGUAUGUAUACUUUAUCUCCCACCUAUGAGCUCCAGAUAUUAAAGCCUUAUUAGAGUAGGGUGAGAGAAAAGGCAACGUAACUAUGCCUCAUACCACAAAUACCACAUAUAUUGAGAGAAGGCAUAUACCAUCACUGCCUUGGUAAGGAUCCAAAAAUACCACAAAAGAGAGACCUGAGAGAAUCAUACAAGGAAUCUCUGAGUUUUAUUUGAAAAUCUGCAAGAAACCCCAGAGCUAUAGCUGAUCAAGAAUAAGAGACAUGGCACUUGGCUAGACUAUUCUAUCUUUUAACCACUCAAGACAGAAGUGACGGUUACAAGUCCCAUGGUGGAGGUAAAGUAAGUAAGUUUUAAGUCUUGACAGUUUACUCUAACUGAGAGAUGAGAUCUUAUUUAAAAGCAUGUGUACCGUCAAAUUUUUAAAAGAUAUUGCAACUACUUCUGGUCCAUAGCUGAGUCUAUCCUUGCUCAGGGACGAGCAAGAGGUAAGCUUGGGGGAGUUUGUUGACGGUCCUUAAGUAUCAAAUUUAAUUAUCAAAUAAAUAAAGAAAAGGAUCCAAAUGAAAUCAAGAUCUAGACUUAGGGUUUUAUCUGACAGAAUUCCAUGAGUUUUGGUGUUUGUCUAUUUCUGCGGGGGGUUAUCAGGAAAUAUGGAAGAAAGGCCCACAUGUCAGGAUUACGUAAAGAUAUUAACGUGCUGCGCAAUUAUCUUACAUCUAGAAGACUCCAGAAGCCACAAGACUGAAGCGGAGGCGAAACGGGGCCAGACCCUGGGCGGCCGCCCAGUUGGUCAGGGCGCCCGCCCACCCCCUGUGUCCAAUCAGGACUCUGCUUUGCGGGAGAUCUCCACCGACCUAAAGGAUGAAUCUAAACCAUACAAUCUAUGUCGGUUUGAUCCAAGGGCCCAUAUUCACUUGAAGGGACUAUAAAACCAGACCCCCUGGCCCCUGGAGGAGAGAGCCUCUCAACCCUAAUUCAUUGUUUCAUCAAGGGAGAAGAAGCCUCUGAUCAAGAUUAGAGCCACAACAUCAAUUAGACAUCUAGAUUAGCAUAGCUACAUAGGAUUAGAACUAGAAGGAGUCAAUCUUCGAUUGGUUUCCGGAUCUGUCAAGAGGAUUCUUGGUAAUGCUCUAAUUGUGCUUCUAAUUACUUUCUAAUUAUCUUUGUUCUUCAAUAUUAUGAAUAUGACUUUGUUCUACUUCAAUAUAUUGCUUAUGACUUUGCUCUACUUGCUUAUAUUCAAGAUUAUAUUGUUCUUAGUUUAUCAUAGUUAUGUACUUGGCUUAGUUAGAUACGAUCUAUAUACAUGCUUAGGAUCGUAUAGCGUUUGUCCAUCGGAUCCAUGGGUAAAUGAUAGAUAUUGUGUAGGCGUGGUGCUUAUACCGUAUUUAUCUGCGAUUGUACCCAAUAUGCCAGAUCGUGGGGUAGUUCGUGAUAGUGACAGCUUCAUUGAUUCUUAUAUAGUCCCCCUCUCGUGUAUUGGGCUGGCAGAGCAACAUUAUUACAGGGGUGUGAUUGCUAUGUUUCUCAUAUUCCUUGCUAAUAUCACUAUGCAUGGGCGUAGUCUUGUCUCGCAAUGAUUGCUAAGUAUGCUUGCACUAACUAUGAUAAUGCUAGACUAUAUAGUUAAGAAUAACUUAGGGAAUAUUCUUGUAGUUCGUUCUAAUACCAUGCUAAUGACUUUCUAGAGUAUCUAAUUGAGGUGCUUAUCAUAUUUAUUAUGUGGCUAGAUCAGAUUAGUUAUCCUUGUCACUGUUAUUAUUUCAUAUAUCUUUUAUGUGACACUUAUCCCUGUAUGAAGAGUUAGAUAUAAUGUUCUCAAUUAUACAUGCAAUGAUAGAUGCUCAAUCUCAUAUUCUAUUCUGUAAUCAUUAGUGAUGAUUUCUAAUCCCUUCUCAGUGGUAAAAAUAUAAAUAACGAUACCUGGAAUACUUCCCGGUUAAAAUGCUGCAUCGGUAUUAAUCUGUGCACUUGCAGAUCCCAUUCAUUAUUUAUUUAGAAGAGCAAUUGCAUAUUUCAAUACCGCGUCUCUCAUAUCAUGCUGGGGAUGACAACUUGGCUUAAGUGGUGUGAGGGAUAGGUUUGGCAUUUUUGGCACCGUUACUAGAUUUAGAGAACUUAGUCUACUUUUGGUAAUGAUGUUAAGAAUACCCAACAGUAGACAUGUUGUCUGCAAAGCUAGACCUGCUCAUGAAGAAGCUCGAUGAUAGAGCUGGAGACAAGAAAGAAGUUAUGCACAUCUACGACUCUCACAUGACUUGUGAGGAGUGUGGAGACACUGGACACUCAGGCAACCACUGCCCUGAGAUACUUGAGGAUGUGAACUACAUCAACAACAACAACAACAACUACUACAACCGUCCUCAACAAAAUCAAGGUUGGAAUCAACAGAGGCCUAACUACUUAGGUAAUUAUCAAGGUAACAAUUCUUAUAACAACAAUAGUAAUUUUCCACCUUUGAGAGAGUUAGUGUCUAAUCAAGGAAAGCUAAUGGAUAACCUAUCUAAGAAAUUGGCAUCUAAUGAUAAAAUGCUAGAAAAUAUAAAUAAUAGAAUGGAUAAUUUUUCUACUGCCAUCAAGAAUCAAAUUAGCUUUAAUAAAAUGAUUGAAUCUCAGUUAAAUCAAAUAGCUGCUGCUGUUCCUACUACUAACCCCGGUAUACCAUCACAACCGGAAGGAUUAGAAUCUGCAAAUCUUGUAGACGUGUUUGAUGCAGGUAAUUGGAGUAACCCCGUCACUGAAUUUUCUACUGACCGUCUGCCGGUCAAGAGAGGCGAUCCAGGACGCCCCGUCAUCCCGAUCUCCAUCGGCAUGGUGGACUUCCCAGAAGCACUCUGUGACUUUGGCUCUAGCGUCAACAUUAUACCCAGGGUACUCUAUGAAAAAUUCUUUACAUAUCCUUUAUUAGAGACAACCAUGUGUUUGCAGUUUGUAGAUCAGACGAUAACUUUUCCAAAAGGAAUAGUGAAGAACCUUUGUGUCCGAGUUGGUACCUUAUAUGCCCCAGCAGACUUCGUAGUGGUAGAGACCGGAAAUGAUGAGAGAGCACCUAUCAUCCUAGGGAGGCAAUUCUUGAACACCACAGGAGCUAUCAUCUACGCCAGUGCUGCCAAGAUCAGUUUCUACGUCAAAGGGAAGAAGGAGACAUUUUUCUUCAAGAACAAGACUACACAAAUUCCAAAUCAAUCCAGACGUGAAUCAAGAAAGAGGACCAACAGGAGGAACAGGGACAAGCAAGUGUGGACCGAGUCAGCUAAGAUGGUCACUGUAGUUCAUGGAGGUCAAGAUCACCAACUUAAGUCACCGUUUUUGACCAAGAAGGACGACCCAGGAAUGCCAAGCAUCUACUGCUCCAUAAAUGGAUACAACUUCUACAAGACGAUUUGCGACACCGGAUCGGGCGUCAACAUAAUGGCCGCAGUCACUUAUCGGCUCUUGUUCGGGACCAUGCCACUAAGACCAACAUACAUUCAACUCCAGAUGGCAGAUCAGACAUUUCGAGAAGUUCAAGGAAUAGUAUCUGAUGUCCCAGUCAAAAUAGACGAUCACUUUGUCUACACAGACUUUCAAGUUGUUGACAUGGGAGAAGACGAGUAUGAUCCACCCAUCAUCCUUGGAAGACCGUUCCUCAGCACCGUUAAAGCAAUUAUCUACAUUGGAACUGGAGAAGUCCAUAUGCACUUCCCCUCAGAGAAGGUACGCCGUUAUUUUACUGACCCUAACUAUAUCAUUGAAGAAUCUAAGCAGGUAAGAAAGCGACGCAACCGCAACCAGAGGAGGCAGAUCAUCAAGGACGGAUGGGCAGACUAUGAAGGAGAUGUUGUAAGGUCAGAAGACAUAGAGUUUAAACAGAAUUAUCCAGAGGAGAUUGAAGCACCGAGUCAGGUAUGGAAAAUGAAGAUAACUGUACAAGAAGAGGAGGCGCUGCCGGAAGUACCGACUACGCCACCCAACGAACCUCAGGACGAUUAAGAAAAUGGAGAGUCCCGUUCGGAGGACUUAAAAACACCAACGCCUUGCCAAGAGGUAAACUUGGUAGUUAUCAUUUCCCUUUCAAUUAUUUCAAAUAGUUUACUUAGUUAAUCAUAUUCACACUAUCUUAAAAAGAAAAUAAAAAUGUUAAAAACAGUAAGCCCCAUGUGAGUAGACGAGUGGCAUGAAACCCAUAGGUACAUUCACUGUGGUGGCAUAAAAAUAAAAUAAAUAUUUUUCUGCUUUAUAAAAACAAAAAUAUAAAAACAGGGAGUAAUAAUUAUUAGGAGUCUCAACAUGAUAAAGGCUAGAUAUUUAUGCUAACACUUAAUCAGUUCCACAAGCUUUGUUGUCUAUUUGAGCUCCACAGAAUUUAAGAAUCAAGAAGACUAGCAGACGGAGGACAUCCUAAUCGCUGUCAGAAUGCUGCUGACUUUCAAAUACACCUCUGCCACCUGCUAGCUACACCAAGAGAAAUUACGUCAAAAUUCAGCUUGGGGGAGAGCACCCCCAUUUAUCUAGAUAAGUAUUUCUAUCUAUCUUUAUACUUAUAUUAUUUUAGAAUAUAAAUAACUAUGAAAAAACCAAAUAAACAUUUUAUGCUUAUAUAUAUGCCUUUUGCUUAGUGUGUUUAAUAAAUAAAUAAAGUGGCUAUGCUAAUCUGUAUCUAAAUAAAACUUAAGCAUGGAUAUGAUAAAUAGUUGCUCUGCCUAAUUUGCAAAUUUUAAGUUCUCUCUCAAGUUUAGAUAUAACUGUUAUAAUUUAAAUAUUGCUCUAGACCUAAACUUGUGGGAUGAAAACUUGAUCUGAAGUCUAAGUUGUUAACGGAUAUGAUAUGGGAAGGUUGAGCUGCUGUUUAUCUGUUCCUAGAGAUGCUAGAAUUCUGGAGAAUUUUAUCUUUGAAAAUCUUUAAAAUCUUGCAUGAUGAGUUCCUGUAUGAUGAGAGCUUAAAUUCCUACCACAGCCAUAUAUGCAUGCUUGCUAGACUUUGAGCCACACAUUUAUUAUUUACUGCUUAUGAGCAUUAAGUGUGGUCAAGCUGUGUAGACCCUUAGGAGCUUGUCUUGUGGUUAAAUCAAGAUUUCACUUGCACGUCCACUCAUAUAUGCUACUUCUACUCCGGAAGUACCAUCCACAUAUAUCCAUCCAUUUCCAUCUCCAGAAUCACCCAAAAAUAUUCUACUCCUAAUCCGGGAGAGAAUAACCAAAAAUAUUUCUGUUUUUCCCUUGUGAAAUAAAUGCUCAAGUUAUCUUGUUACUACCACUUGCUAUAUUAUCUCAUGAGAUGAGUGCUCUAAAAAAAAGAGAUACGAGGAAAUAAAAAGGAGCAAGUGCUCGGAACCUCGAAAGAAAAAAAAAGAAAAGAAAAAGUGAGACGAGAGGUAAAAAUGGACAAGUGUCCGACAGUAGAAUUAGGGGUACAAGAUACCCACCUGAGAGACAAGAAAAAGAUAGAGCAUCUCAUUCUCAUCAUAAAGUUUCAAAAGCAAGGAAGGUAUGUAUCCCCUCAAAAGAGCAAAGUAGAAUUAGACUUCCACCCCCAUUGUUUCCACCAUUGUUAUCACCAUACACCAUUCAUUCGCCACACAUGCACAUUUUGAUUUGGCUUAUUGAUUUGUUUCUUUGGAUCCAUGGUUUGACUAUGCAAUAAAUGUCUUGUAAGUAUGUAUACUUUAUCUCCCACCUAUGAACUCCAGAUAUUAAAGCCUUAUUAGAGUAGGGUGAGAGAAAAGGCAAUGUCACUAUGCCUCAUACCACAAAUACUACAUAUCUUGAGAGAAGGCAUAUACCAUCAAUGCCUUGGUAAGGAUCCAAAAAUACCACAAAAGAGAGACCUGAGAGAAUCAUACAAGGAAUUUCUGAGUUUUAUUUGAAAAUCUGCAAAAACUCUAGAGCUAUAGCUGAUCAAGAAUAAGAGACAUAGCACUUGGCUAGACUAUUCUAUCUUUUAACUACUCAAGACAGAAGUGACAGUUACAAGUCCCAUGGUGAAGGUAAAGUAAGUAAGUUUUAAGUCUCGACAGUUUACUCUCACUCAGAGAUGAGAUCUUAUUUAAAAAGCAUGUGUACCGUCAAAUUUUAAAGAUAUUGCAACUACUUCUGGUCCAUAGCUGAGUCUAUCCUUGCUCAGGGACGAGCAAGAGGUAAGCUUGGGGGAGUUUGUUGACGGUCCUUAAGUAUCAAAUUUAAUUAUCAAAUAAAUAAAGAAAAGGAUCCAAAUGAAAUCAAGAUCUAGACUUAGGGUUUUAUCUGACAGAAUUCCACGAGUUUUGGUGUUUGUCUAUUUCUGCAGGGGGUUAUCAGGAAAUACGGAAGAAAGGCCCACAUGUCAGGAUUACGUAAAGAUAUUAACGUGCUGCGCAAUUAUCUUACAUCUAGAAGACUCCAGAAGCCACGAGACCGAAGCGGAGGCGAAACAGGGCCAGAGGCAGGGCGCCCGCCCUGUCCUACUGGGCGCCCGCCCCCUGUUGGAGUCCAAACAGGACUCUGCUUUGCGGCAAGUCUCCACCGACCUAAAGGAUGAAUCUAAACCAUACAAUCUAUGUCGGUUUGAUCCAAGGGCCCAUAUUCACUUGAAGGGACUAUAAAACCAGACCCCCUGGCCCCUGGAGGAGAGAGCCUCUCGACCCUAAUUUAUUGUUCCAUCAAGGGAGAAGAAGCCUCU